RNAcentral lists this small RNA (869 nucleotides) under Arabidopsis thaliana (thale cress). Its description in RNAcentral is "putative long intergenic non-coding RNA". The record is from RNAcentral. Lineage: Eukaryota; Viridiplantae; Streptophyta; Magnoliopsida; Brassicales; Brassicaceae.
UUGAGUACUGAGUACUAGUCGAUCUAGUGUACAAGAGAAAGAAGACGAGAAUAAACUUUCUUCUUUGUAUUUCUUUUUUUCACACAUUUACAACGUCUUUCCAUGGGCUUUUUAUACACUACUCUUUCUUGACGUACACUUGUCUACCUUUUCAUCAUUUCAUGGUGCAAGGGAUUGCAAAACACGCGGUUUUAGGUCAGAUUGCUCGUUAGAAGAAAAGAUUAAUCUUUUCUUCUACGGAGCAAUCUGAACUUAACAUGCUUUAGAUGUAUGCACAGAGACGAAAGUGACGUGGCUGAACAUUUGCUUGUGUUUUGUCUUUGUGUUGUUGAUUGUUUGGGCUUGUUGAGAUGUUGAAGUUGGGCCAGUAAAGUUGAGCUUAGAAUUCUGAGAUGCAUUCAACACCAAAUUUAAUAUAUGGUCGUGUGAGUGUUAGAUAUUGAAGUUUACCAGCAAGUCACCAACCCCAUAACGAAGCAUGUUAUACACGUAUCAACUUGUCUAACCGUGGCUAUUAGGGAUCCUCUCCGAAGAGGUCUUAUUUGGUUACGUGUAUGGUUUCUCUUCUUAUCAUGACAUUUGAAACACUCUCGCUGAUAACUUCCAUAUAUAGAAGUUAUGUUGCUCAUGUUUUCUAACUUCGUUGUGAUCUCCAAAGUAAUUGGUCAUCUUGUUGAUGUACUUUUUGAAUAUAUUUUAGUCCCUUAAAUGGGUAAUAUGAUCCAUAUACGCAUGGAGAUUCAUAGCUCUCUUUCUCUCUUUCCCCUAUGUUUAAUGAUGUGGCUUCAGAAAUCUUUGGUAUUAAUGCUCGUCUUCACUCCAAUAUAUGAAGUCACACAAUCUAUGUUAUACACCUCUGAUGCAGCAGC